RNAcentral lists this ribosomal RNA (1370 nucleotides) under uncultured bacterium. RNAcentral describes it as "bacterial SSU rRNA". It matches the Rfam family "Bacterial small subunit ribosomal RNA", at positions 28 to 1381 of the family's 1533-position model. The record is from RNAcentral.
GAUGAACGCUGGCGGCGUGCCUAAUACAUGCAAGUCGAGCGAACGGACGAGAAGCUUGCUUCUCUGAUGUUAGCGGCGGACGGGAGAGUAACACGUGGAUAACCUACCUAUAAGACUGGGAUAACUUCGGGAAACCGGAGCUAAUACCGGAUAAUAUUUUGAACCGCAUGGUUCAAAAGUGAAAGACGGUCUUGCUGUCACUUAUAGAUGGAUCCGCGCUGCAUUAGCUAGUUGGUAAGGUAACGGCUUACCAAGGCAACGAUGCAUAGCCGACCUGAGAGGGUGAUCGGCCACACUGGAACUGAGACACGGUCCAGACUCCUACGGGAGGCAGCAGUAGGGAAUCUUCCGCAAUGGGCGAAAGCCUGACGGAGCAACGCCGCGUGAGUGAUGAAGGUCUUCGGAUCGUAAAACUCUGUUAUUAGGGAAGAACAUAUGUGUAAGUAACUGUGCACAUCUUGACGGUACCUAAUCAGAAAGCCACGGCUAACUACGUGCCAGCAGCCGCGGUAAUACGUAGGUGGCAAGCGUUAUCCGGAAUUAUUGGGCGUAAGCGCGCGUAGGCGGUUUUUUAGUCUGAUGUGAAAGCCCACGCUCACCCGUGGAGGGUCAUUGGAAACUGGAAAACUUGAGUGCCCUUGAGGAAAGUGGAAUUCCUUGUGUAGCGGUGAAAUGCGCAGAGAUAUGGAGGAACACCAGUGGCGAAGGCGACUUUCUGGUCUGUAACUGACGCUGAUGUGCGAAAGCGUGGGGAUCAAACAGGAUUAGAUACCCUUGGUAGUCCACGCCGUAAACGAUGAGUGCUAAGUGUUAGGGGGUUUCCGCCCCUUAGUGCUGCAGCUAACGCAUUAAGCACUCCGCCUGGGGAGUACGACCGCAAGGUUGAAACUCAAAGGAAUUGACGGGGACCCGCACAAGCGGUGGAGCAUGUGGUUUAAUUCGAAGCAACGCGAAGAACCUUACCAAAUCUUGACAUCCUUUGACAACUCUAGAGAUAGAGCCUUCCCCUUCGGGGGACAAAGUGACAGGUGGUGCAUGGUUGUCGUCAGCUCGUGUCGUGAGAUGUUGGGUUAAGUCCCGCAACGAGCGCAACCCUUAAGCUUAGUUGCCAUCAUUAAGUUGGGCACUCUAAGUUGACUGCCGGUGACAAACCGGAGGAAGGUGGGGAUGACGUCAAAUCAUCAUGCCCCUUAUGAUUUGGGCUACACACGUGCUACAAUGGACAAUACAAAGGGCAGCGAAACCGUGAGGUCAAGCAAAUCCCAUAAAGUUGUUCUCAGUUCGGAUUGUAGUCUGCAACUCGACUACAUGAAGCUGGAAUCGCUAGUAAUCGUAGAUCAGCAUGCUACGGUGAAUACGUUCCCGGGUCU